UACCAAUGAAUUUUACAACGUAUACUUU
This 28-nucleotide small RNA is filed under the name Bombyx mori (domestic silkworm). Its description in RNAcentral is "ovarian small RNA-20529". Lineage: Eukaryota; Metazoa; Arthropoda; Insecta; Lepidoptera; Bombycidae. The record is from RNAcentral.